RNAcentral lists this ribosomal RNA (443 nucleotides) under uncultured bacterium. RNAcentral's name for it is "partial 16S ribosomal RNA". It matches the Rfam family "Bacterial small subunit ribosomal RNA", at positions 338 to 795 of the family's 1533-position model. The record is from RNAcentral.
CCUACGGGUGGCAGCAGUGGGGAAUAUUGGGCAAUGGGCGCAAGCCUGACCCAGCAACGCCGCGUGAAGGAAGAAGGCUUUCGGGUUGUAAACUUCUUUUCUGAGGGACGAAGAAAGUGACGGUACCCUAGGAAUAAGCCACGGCUAACUACGUGCCAGCAGCCGCCGUAAUACGUAGGGGGCAAGCGUUAUCUGGAUUUAUUGGGGUGAAAGGGGGUGUAGGCGGGAAAGCAAGUCAGAGAGUAAAACUUAGAGCUCAACCCUGAGCCUGCAUUUGAAACUGUUUUACUUGAGUGCUAGAGAGGCAAUCGGAAGUCCGGGUGAAGCGGUGAAAUGCGUAGAUAUAAGGAGGAACACCAGUGGCGAAGGCGGUUUGCUGGACAGUAACUGACGCUGAGGCGCGAAAGCGUGGGGAGCAAACAGGAUUAGAUACCCGAGUAGUC